CCCAGUGGAGCGAUCCUGGCCGACAGAGGUCAUGUUCUGUGGUGGGAGAGUAACUGAGCACAUCAUUGAGCGCACAACUUGACCCUGGAUUGGAAACUAGGAACAGACAGAAGGAGGCUGAAAGCUUCACGAUGCCGGCGGAUAAGAUCACGCCUUCACCCUUUUUUAUUAGAGGCACUCACUGAUCCGUGGGCUCCGUUCCCCUCGCGGGGGAAGUCGUUUGUCAAAGACAGAUCCCCUCAGGAGCUCUGCUGGAUUUAGGGGUUUCCUCCGCUGUUCACGGGGCACAUUUCCCAGAAUUACACUCAUUCAUGAUGAGUGAAAGCAUCCAGAGGAAAAAAGAGCUGCCUCUCGCCUCCAUUCAGCAGCCCAGGCCCCUAAUCUCCGCUGGGACAGCCCACAAUGAGAAAGGAAGGCCGACACUCACAUCAAGCACCAGGCUCUAUAAAGGCACAAUGACAAGGGAGAACAUGUCAUACCUCGUCUGUUUGUGCCGCUAGAAACUUUUAAAACAGUUUAAAUGCCUCCGUAGUUUUUCCUUUGACACGCAGAAGUUACUCCUGUGUUGUUGUCAUCAUAUUAAAGACCUCAUGUGUCAUCUUCGGCAGA
Molecule: long non-coding RNA, 609 nt
Organism: Thunnus maccoyii (southern bluefin tuna)
Lineage: Eukaryota; Metazoa; Chordata; Actinopteri; Scombriformes; Scombridae
Exons: 2
Source: RefSeq, a predicted model, not a curated record